RNAcentral lists this transfer RNA (65 nucleotides) under Mesocricetus auratus (golden hamster). It matches the Rfam family "tRNA". Rfam says of the family: Transfer RNA (tRNA) molecules are approximately 80 nucleotides in length. Their secondary structure includes four short double-helical elements and three loops (D, anti-codon, and T loops). Lineage: Eukaryota; Metazoa; Chordata; Mammalia; Rodentia; Cricetidae. The record is from Rfam by way of RNAcentral.
GGGAAUAUAGCUCAAUUGGUAGAGCGCUUGCUUAUCAUGCAUGAAGUCCUAGGUUCUUAUCUCCA